Molecule: long non-coding RNA, 615 nt
Organism: Papaver somniferum (opium poppy)
Lineage: Eukaryota; Viridiplantae; Streptophyta; Magnoliopsida; Ranunculales; Papaveraceae
Exons: 3
Source: RefSeq, a predicted model, not a curated record
AUAUGUUGUUUGUUUAUUCAGGUGGAAUGACAAAAUUAAUCUUUUGUUUUCUGUUAUCUUAAAACUUGAGGAUGGUGAUUGAUUGUCUUCGUGAUUGGUUAUUGUAUUACCAGUGCAUGGAUCAUUCACUGUGUUUCCGUAAAAUGCUAAGACUUCCUAAUAAUGAUGUAAUCUUUUUGAUGUUAUUCAUGUCAAUUUUUUUACGGUUCUGCAUUUUGAAAAUAUCCGGAUAAUGUUUUACGUCAUUAUUCGAAAGUCUUAACACCUUACAAAAACUACAUCAACUUGAACGAUUAGAUGAGAACGAUAGAGUUGUGUUGAAAGGGAUACUAGACAAUGCUGCUACACAAGUGGUUCAGUCUCACAUGAAGGGAAAAACUAGUCGAACUUUGCUGGCUGAGAAGAUUGGAUCUGGCGGUUCCAAAGGUGUAGUCCCAUGUCGGUCGACAGAAGUAUCGGCCAACUUUGGUUGUCAUUUUGGAAGAGUCGCGUAGCGUUGUCUCCCCCCAUCCUUGCUGUGAGACCGGAAAAGAGGCCAUUUUUUUUCCCGCAAGGACAGUGUUCCACUCUUUGUAGUAUCUCCGCAGUUAAUUUAUCCGGCAACUUGUCCACAUA